This 85-nucleotide transfer RNA is filed under the name Candidatus Daviesbacteria bacterium. RNAcentral describes it as "tRNA-Leu". It matches the Rfam family "tRNA". From Rfam's summary of the family: Transfer RNA (tRNA) molecules are approximately 80 nucleotides in length. Lineage: Bacteria; Candidatus Daviesiibacteriota. The record is from RNAcentral.
GCUGGUGUGGUGGAAUGGCAUACACGCUCGCCUUAAGAGCGAGUGCUCACAAGGCAUAAGGGUUCGACUCCCUUCACCAGCACCA